Lagenorhynchus albirostris (white-beaked dolphin) is the source of this 7303-nucleotide long non-coding RNA. RefSeq lists it as uncharacterized. The transcript is spliced from 4 exons. Lineage: Eukaryota; Metazoa; Chordata; Mammalia; Artiodactyla; Delphinidae. The record is from RefSeq and is a predicted model, not a curated record.
UUGAAUCCCUAGUGGGUUCUUACAGCUGCCCCCAAACCCAGCAGGAUAAAAUUCUCCCCUUUGUUCCUCUGGACAGCCAGCAUGUUCACCCCUUGGAAUUGAGGCCAGCAGGCAAGGAAGGAUCUGGGAAGCCCACCUCCCACCCUGUGUGUGGAGUGGGGUGGGCUUAUUUAGUUUGGAGCCAGGAGAUCUCAGCUCUGGUUUACAUGAAGCCUUGGGCAAAGCUAUUCCACCUUUUGAGGUUCCCUAUCAGUAAAAUGAGACAUUUAUUAAUCCGGGCCAGAUCCUCCCUGCAGCCUUGGUAGACAUGCUGCCACUAGUUGGUGGAUUAUGAGAAUGCUCUAUGGUCUCAGGCAGGUAAUGCACUUUGCUGGGCCUCAGUUUUCUUACCUCUUAAAUGGGAGUAAUUCUCACAAGGGUGGGGCAGGACUGCAGUGGAAGAGGGGAGGGGUGGCCAAGCCACAAAACCUUGGUCACCAAUGCAACGCAAGUGUCUGCUACCAGACAUUACCAGGACUCUGCCAGUUCUGCCCUCUCUCUGUUUCCCCUGACCAGGAGAAGGCAACCAGUGACUCAAGGGAACCAGUUUCCUGGGAUUCAGAGGAGCUGGUCAGGACAGGUUAGUUGGGGUGUGGGGCCACCUGCUGGUCACCUGGUGAGUAUUCAGUAGAUGCCUACUGUGUGCCAGACCCUGAGGCAGCUGUGGUUCUGCCUAGGUGGAGGGGGAGACCACAACAUCAUAAUGAACAGCUGCCAUUUACUGAGUGCCUAUUGUAUGCCAGGACUAUGUGGGGGCUUUACCUGGAUCAUCUCACUUAGUCCUCACAGUCCCAUCUCACAGAUGGAGAAACUGAGCCCUCAGACUCUUAGCUGGAGGAGGUCAGAGGAAGGGAUGCUACUUUUGGCUGGGGACAAUCAUAGAGGGCUUCCAAGAGGUGGUGACACGUGAAUUUGAAGGGCAAAUUUGGAUAGACAAAGAUUUGGGAAAAGCGCAUUCCAGCUGACAGGUAUGGGGGAGGCAAGGCGAGGAGGCAGGAAUGGGAUGUGAAGAAUGGAGAACAAGUCUGUUUAACCGGUGAGAGGCAGGAGGUUGCUCAUUUCCUCAUCCCAUCUCCUGUAGGUAGUCAGGGUGGGGACUUUAGGGGUGAGACAGUGGGUACCUGGUGGCAGCUUCUCUCCCUUAGUGCUCCCAGGCCAAUCUCAUGUGUGGAGGAUGCAUUCCCUCCUCCCCAUAUCCACAUCUGCCUCCCCUAGAGAUACACCCGGCUCUUGAUGCUGGUUUGUCCAACUAUCUGUCCACCUCCUCUUGCUGGUAUGGCCUUUUCAGGUGGCUCCAGAGUUGGAUCUUUUCACACUGGGCUCCCUGCACCCUCAGGAUGUGGCCUCUGCUUCCAGCAAAGCUAUUUUGUGUACUGGAUUUUCUCCUGAGAUUUAAUUUGAACAAGAGUUUAUGUGCUUUAAAAAGGUUUAUGGACCGUUGAACUAGACGCUUAACAUUUAUCUCAAAUCGUGCAGUAUGAUCCCAUUUUACAGACGGGAAACCGAGACUCAGCAUGACUAAGUACUUGCUGGGAUCCAUGGCUGGGCUCUGAUAUGAAAAAAUGGCUUCAAGAUUGUCCUUUCUCCCACUGUCCUCAAAGGGUCCAGACUUCAUGCAGACAGGCAGAGAAGAGCCACCUGCACGGUCUGAUGGGCUGCAACAGGUGCUAAUAAGGAGAGCAGAGAUGAUGGGGUGAUCGUGGCUCUCUUAGGCAGGGUUGUUUUCCUCUUUCUGGUGGGGGUUUGAGAGAAAGUUGGGACAAAGAGGAGGUGAUUGGGAUGGGGAGGUAUUGGGGAGGCACUGGGGAGUCUGCCUCAUCCCCAAAUACCUGCCCCUGAUGCAGCGGCUGUGUGGAUAAAGUAGAUUAUGCCCCCAGAUCCACUCCCAGCCUUCAGCUGUGGUCACAUCAAGCCAGAGAGACCAGCAAGCCGAUCCACCAUCAGACCUGGAAGAGAUCCUCUGUGCAGAGCAAGGUAGGCCCUUCAGCUGCCCUCUGGAGUAGCCCCCCAGUGUGGUGAACCUCCCUAGUGCAGCCUCACUUCCAGUUGAUGGGACCUCGACUCAUGGGCCAUGUGUCCCCACCAAAGAAAGGCCCAGUGAGUGAGGGGCUGGGCUACCCAGCUCUGGGUCUGGCCUGCUCCAGUUACACACUGGAGCCCAUGUUUUGAGCAUCUAGAGUGUGCCAGGAUGUCUCAUACGUGACCUCCUUCACUUUUCUGUCCUUCCAAUAGCUUUCUAAGCAGGGAUUAUGCCCAUCUCGCAGAUGAAGUCACUGAGGCUUGAGUAGCAUGGGGAUAAAGUGCCCAGUUUCCUCCAUGUGGUGAGUGGCAGGGCGGGGGGUCUGAAUCCGGGAGCAUGGGGCUCUAAGAUCCCCUCCCGAACAGAAAUGCUCUCCCUGCCCAAAGAAUCCCAACCCUGCCUGACCCUUCCCUGAUAUUGUAUGUCCCUGGCUGCCAGAGGAAGGGCCCUUGGUGGGGGGCUCCCAUGCUCUCUGGCCCCCAAACCUGAGUAGGGAGUGCCAGGCACCUCUCAGCAUGGUUUAAGGUCAAGGCAUUUCCCUGUGGCUGAGAUGGAAGUUGAGCUGGGUCACACAGCCUGGGGCCCCUUCCAGCUCUGCUCUGUGACCAUGGACAACUCCCUUAACUCCUCUGAGCCCAUCUCCUCAUUAGAACAUGUGGACAGUGACACCUGCCCCCUGGACCAUGAGACUGUGAAAGGUGAGGCACGAUGCCCUGAAGAGCUCUCAGCAUAUCAUAGGUCCUAGAAAAUGUCGCUUCACACAAAAGACUGUAGGGUUUGACGGUGUAUGGGGAAGUAUUGAGUGGAGGCUGAAAGCCUUCAGAAAGGAGGCUGUCUUCCCGGGAAAAGCUGCAGUCAGGGCCCCUGUCUGAGUGAGCUGCCCACCUGCCCUGGGGACCUCUCUCUCUGAACGUCCCUUUCAGGCCAGGGUCUAGUGGGCUGUGCAGCAGGGCUGGCCAGGGCUGCUGGGGAGACAGUGAGGCAGAGGAGGCAGCCAAGGCAGGUCCGAAGAACUACUCCGCACAGGGUCGUGAAGGUAUCCAGGGAAUGUGGGGCACAGGGCUAGUCACCACGCCAGCCAGAUGAGGGGAUGGGCUGACCUAGAGUGUCUUCUAUGGGCAAGCCUCCCUGGACCAUUGGCUGGGGCAACCUAAGCAGACAGAACUUCUUUAAUGACAGAGUCCAUAGCCAAAGUGGGGUGACAGACACGGACAGGAAGGUCAGGGAAGGUUUCCGAGAAGGGGAAUUCAGCUGAGGAAGAAUGACCAGAAGAAGUUGCUGUAAGAAGAACAAGAGGAAGGGUAUCGCAGAUGGAGGGAAUAGCAAGUGCAAAGGCCCUGGGGCUGAAAAGACCUUCAAGUAUCUGAGGAGCAAAAAUGAGUGCAACAUGCCUGGAGAGUGCUGCUCCAGCCUCUCUCGGACAGAAGUGAGUAUGUGGACUGCCUUAUGGGGCCCCAGGAAAUUGGGCUUUUUGGAGUGCCUUUCUAUAUGCUCUGCCACUGACCACCCAGAACAGGGUCCAACCUAGGGCUCAGGGCAGCUUGGCCAGAUGUGAAUCAACCCUUACGUGGCCCUUGACUCCCCAGAUAUGGCUUUAAUAUCUAAUCGUUGACGAUAAAUUGAACUCACUAAACUGUGGAUGCAAAGCUUGCUGGAGCUCUUAACAUCAGCAAAGCCAGUAGCUGUGUCUAUUUCCACACAGAGAAGAUGCAAUAAAAUAUAACUCACCUCUGGAGAUAGAUUCUGUAGAGCUAGGGCUCUGCCCUCUGGGCCCAGGAGAGAGGGGAUCAAUUCCUCUUGGUGAGCUCCUAUAAAUGGGGUUCAAGCUUAUUGGAAUUAUGUGAGUGCUCGGGUGGGAGAUCCUAGGGUGCGGGGUGUGCAGAGAUUCUUGGCAAUGACUAUGUACUAUAAUAUAAUCUCAGUCAGCAGGAGACAAGGCCCUCCUCUCUCCAGCACAUGAGUCAUACAGGCCAGGGGCCUGGGUUGGGAGCACUGUCAAGGGAUGAGUGGGCCUGACCCGGAAGGUUUUCUUUCUUCUGUUAUUCUGAUGGUCAGGUGGGUUUUCUCAGAGAGCUAAUUCUGCGGAAUAAAUCCUGCCCACCUGAAGCUGGGAGGGGUGCCUGGAGUAGGCAAAGAUGGCUGUAGAUGGGAAGAGGUUUGGGAGAAAGACAGGUACCCAGGUUCUGCCCUCCGGAAGGAAGGUGGUCAGAGGUCAGCUGAUUUGCCCAAGGUCAUACAAGGUUAGUAUAGUAAUGGAGCUGUGAACAAAAGAAAGCUCCCUGGAGAUGGCCCUAAAUUGGGGGGUAGAGGAGGAGGGCAUCAGGACUGGAGGGGCCUAGAAGAGCUUGCGGGUUCCAGCUUCAGGGCUUCUGAUGUCUCCUCUUCAGAGUACAAUUACCUCGAGGGAAAAGUGGUAACUCUUGGGCCUCUGCACUUUCUCCCCUCUGUGUGUGACUUCCUGGACCGGCCAAACCCAGCCCUCCAAGGAUGGGAGUGGAUCCUGAAGCAGUGAAAAUCAACACAGGUGUGGUUCUGACAUGGCUUUGAGAGCUGGAAUGGAUGAAUAGAUAGAACCUGGGAAGGUCAGAGCUGGAAAGUGCCUUACUGCAUUUAACUCCCGUUUUAUGAGUAAAUAGAGGCUCACAAGCCAGCCUCUCAGCCUAACUGUCUGCCCCCCACAUGAAGUCGCCCUAUCUGCUAGCUUCCCUGGCCUCAGAGUUCCCUCUCAGGUCUUCGUGGCUCUCACCUGCUGCAGAGCUGUUUUCCAUUUUUGCUUGUUCCUAAAUAGGACUUUAUCAGUGACUGUGCCUGGGGCCUCCAUGGCUCUUAAUUAGGCUUCCUUGAGUUUCCUUUGCAGAGGCCUUUGGGUGAGGGGAGUGUUAGUGCUUCCAGUGCAUAGAGAGCCUGGAGGCGUGAAGGGUGGGGCUUUCAGGCCCCAUCUCUGCCCUGUGCAGGUCUGCUGGAGCCCAGGGGGCUUCGAGUCUGAGACCUCUGGCUCCUGGCUGGCUGCUGCUGUUCCCCCUUCUGCCUGGACUGGGGCUGCCUGAAGGCUGGACACACACAAAGGAUUUCCCGGCUGUGCCCUGAGGAUGGGGAGGGGCUGCAGCUGUGGAAAUGUUGGGAGCCAUGGCCCAUUUGAUCUGGAAUCCCCGCUCUCUGGCUGGAGAUGUGACUUCUCUCUCCGGCUCCUUCUGUUCUUCUGGGUGAAGACCAGGAUGUCGUCACAGAAUCAGGGCUGUGGAGGUCAUGAGAGGAGAGUCGGGGCUUUGCUUGGUCUUGGGACUCGAUGGGACUUCUGGAAGGCUCAAGUGGCAUGGCCUCUGGGCAGGCGCCCCUCUGCAAGGGUGACUGGGACUGUGGCUGGAUGCUCAGGGACAGCUCAGGGUGACUCCCAUGUUCUGCAGAAAGUUGAAGGUCAGCCCCUCUUUUCCGGUAUCGAGAAGGGCUUUUGGUGUCAGGAAACACCUGGAGCUGGAGCUGGCGUCUGGCUGCUGUGCAUGAUCUUGGACAAGUUUCUUCCUCUCUUUGGAAUCUCAAUUUCCUUGCUGUAAAACGGCCACAGUGAUGCUCACAGGGUUCUCAGGAGGACUCAGAGCCUGCUGCUUCGAGAGUUGAGGUACGCCAACUGAGCUGGAGGGAGUGGUGGGCCCUGGACCAUUUAUAGUGUGAAGAGGGUAGUAGGAGGUGGAGGGGAGGAGGCAUUUGAUCUGACACAGAGGGUCGGGGCAGCCAGGAGGCCAGAGGCUCCUAUGCCCUGCCACGGCUUUUGCAGUACAGACAUUGAAGGUUGUCUGCCACUUAUGCAGAAGAGUUUCUAAGAAUCAAAAGUUUAGGGUCCAGGGAGCCAGAAGAAAACAGUGUUGGGAGGCCAGCAGCCAGCCUGGAGGAAGGAGAGUACAGGUGGAGGAGGAAGGAGAUGGAUUCCUUUUCUCCAAAGGCCACACAUGCACUCCUGAACAUGUCAUCCCUCAGACUUUGGGUAUUGGGAAGUUAUUCUCCCACCGGCUGCCUCCAGGACCAGUUGACAGGGAUGAGAAAGCUUCAGAUUUGGUGAGGGCCAAGGGCCACCUCCCAAGCACAAAACAAACCCUCAGGGUACCACCUGGUCCUAGGCCCAAGGACAGAAAGCCUUCAGCUCCCUGUUCCAGCCUCAUCCCCUGGUAGUCUUGGUUCAUCUGCCCAAGCAUAGCUCUAUACCUACUCCUGCUUUCCAGGGCUGAGACUCUGAGUCCAGUAGUCAAGGCCUGGCUUGGACCUGAUGAAUGAAUCAGAUCAAAUACAUGCAGUUUUCUCCCAGGCCUGAUUUAUCCAACCCCUCCAGACCACAUCCACAUUGCAUCUGAGUCCACACCUUGGUUUCCAUAAGGAACAGCAUUGGGUCUAUGAUGGGCUUUAAGAACAGACCAUAGGUUUGUCAAUUGGCCACCAUUAGAGUCAAACAAGUAGCUCCCAAAGUUUGAUUCUUUGGUAUAAUUUAUAUAAAGUAAAAUCUUAAAUGUAAAAUUAGAUAAUUUUAAACUAAUGUAUAUACCCAUGUAACCAGGAUCCCAGUCAGGAUAUAGAACAUUUCCAUCACCUCAGAAAGUCCCCAGUAACCCCCCAUCACAGAAUGCUGAUCUGAUUUCUAUCAUCAUAGGUGAAACCUCCAUGAAGAGUGCCCCCCUUGGGGCUUCCCUGGUGGCGCAGUGGUUGAGAAUCUGCCUGCCAAUGCAGGGACACGGGUUCAAUCCCUGGUCCGGGAAGAUCCCACAUGCCGCGGAGCAACUAAGCCCGUUUGCCACAACUAUGGAGCCUGCACUCUAGAGCUCAUGAGCCACAACUACUGAGCCCGCGUGCUGCAACUACUGAAGCCCGCGUGCCUAGAGCCCGUGCUCUGCAACAAGAGAAGCACCGCAAUGAGAAGCCCAGGCACCGCAAUGAAGAGUAGCCCACGCUCACCGCAACUAGAGAAAGCCCGCACGCAGCAACGAAGACCCAACUCAGCCAAAAAUAAAUAAAUAAAAUAAGUAAAUUUAUUAAAAAAAAAAAAGAGUGCCCCCCCUUUACUCCUGAGCCGUGUUCAAUCAGACUCAUCCUCUGUGAUCUUGCCUCCUUAGCUGAGCCUUCCUGGAUUUUUCUGGUCUACUUGGCCCCCCUGCCUCUGAAUGUCUGUAGCAUUUAUAGUCUACAGGGGCUCUUUCAAAGGGUCCUCAAUAAGUAGUCCCUUGUCCCCCACCCAGCUUCUGAAGAACUCGAAAAAUAAAA